Molecule: long non-coding RNA, 2227 nt
Filed under: Sus scrofa (pig)
Lineage: Eukaryota; Metazoa; Chordata; Mammalia; Artiodactyla; Suidae
Description: lncRNA (ENSSSCG00005003786.1)
Source: RNAcentral
AAAUAAUGCACCAUCAAACUUAAUUCUUCCUUGUACAUAGGCACUCAGUGCUGUUUCCUUCCUCUUCUGAGUUAUACCUUCUUUCAUGGAAUAAAUGCCCUUCUCUCUCUCUCUCUGUAAUGGCUGUGCCUGUGGCAUAUUUAAGUUCCUGGGACAGGAAUCUAAUCAGACAGAGCUGCAGCUGUGUUGCCAGGCCAGUGCCUCUGGAGCCAUCAGAGCCAUUGCAGUCAGGUUCUUAACCCAGUGUAAACACUGGUCUGGGAGUUCCCAUUGUGUCUCAGCGGAAAUGAAUCUGACUAGCAUCCAUGAGGACGUGGGGUCGAUCCCUGGCCUCAGUCAGUGGGUGAUGGAUCCAGUGUUGCUAUGGCUGUGGUAUAGGUCAGAAGCUGCAGCUCUGAUUCGACCCUAGCCUGGGAACCUUCCUAUGCCACAGAUGAGGCCCUAACAAGACCAAAAACAAAAAAACAGAUACACUGGUUUGUCUUGUGUGCUCAAUUGGCUGUUUUUUAAUACAGGAAGUAUAUAAACUUUUUUGCCUUCCCUUUCUCUUCUUUAGGAAGGAAAUAGAACAGUGAUAAUAAACAACCGUCUCAAUGACUUUUUUAACUUAAGGAUUAUGAGCUUGGGCAGAAUAUACCCUUUUAUUAUAAAAUGUAUGCUUUAUAUUUCAGGCAGUUGUUGAUAUUUUUAAAAUUUGUAUUGAAGUUGAAAUAUUUCAGAUUGUUUCUUAGUUUCUCAUUGGCUUAUACAAUUUCAAAGAGUAUUGUUUUUCAAUGAGCAUUUUUUCUCAAGGAGAAUUUUUAUUUUGUUGGUAAAUAAAAUAAUCAUGACCGUAUUUGUUUAGAUUAAUCCCUCUUUAAAAACUGAAUUUCUGGAAUUCCCGUCGUGGAGCAGCGGAAAACGAAUCCGACUAGGAACCUUGAGUUUGAGGGUUCGAUCCCUGGCCUCACUCAGUGGGUUAAGGAGCUGGCGCUGCUAGGAGCUGGCGCUGCUAGGAGCUGUGCUGUAGACCAGCAGCUGUAGCUCCAAUUGAACCCCUAGGCCUGGGAACCUCCAUAUGCCGUGGGUGCGGCCCUAAAAAGAAAAAAACAACUAAUUUCUGUGUUAAUAUCUUUGGGUUUCUCCCACUUUCUGUAUCUUAGUAUUAUUUACAGAAAAAUUCUACCUUUCCUCUUCUUAAACAGAGUACGUAUCUGAUUCUUAUAUUGAUUAUAUUUGGCAUUUAAUACUUUUUCUAAAAUUACUGUUACCAUUAUUUAUAGUCCCAUUAUAUCUGUAGUUUUGAAAAGCUGUAAAAAUUCUCUGUUGCCAGAGAAUUUAAGAUAUGUUACCAGGUAGGCUUGUUUAUUCUGGGAAAAGAGGCUUGUGUUCUUUAGGCUAACCAUUUAGUAGUGGUCUAGUAAAGGUGGUCUGUGUCCUAGGGAUUCCAUCAUUGAAAUAAUAAAAUUAGGGAUUUCCUGUCAUGGCUCAGUGAAAACGAAUCUGACUAGAUUAGCAUCCAUGAGGAUCCAGGUUUGAUCCCUGGCCUCGCUCAAUGGGUUAAAGGAUCCAGCAUUGCUGUGAGCUGUAGUGUAGGUCGCAGAUGUGGGUUGGAUCCCAUGUGGCUGUGGCUGUGUUGUAGGCUGGCAGCUACAGCUCUGAUUUGGCCCCUAGCCUGGGAACCUCCAUAUGCCUCGGGUGCAGCCCUAAGAAGGCAAAAAAAAUGUUUUAAAGUAAUGGAUAUAUGAUACAUAAAGUUGGUAAUGCUCAGGAAGCCGUGGAACUUUAUUUCAGAAUGUAUUUUUAGAAGAGUAUGUAUGUACCUAUGAUUAAAAGAAGACAAAAACAAGGAUUUAAGAAACUAGAUAUAAGCUGCUUAAUUUCAGAAAUGUAUCAUUAUAACCCUCUGUGGGCUCUCAUUAUGUCUUGGUUCAGUUUAAACUUUAGGGGGAAGGAGAAUCCAUGUGUGCUCAAGUCUCAUGGGAGACUUACUGUAGUGAGAUUUAUUAAAUAUGAUGUCAUUUUUAUUCCUGACUAAAUCAAGAAAUUGUGAAUUCGGGAGUUCCUGGCAUGGUGCAGCAGAAACAAAUCCGACUGGGAACCAUGAGGUUUCAUGUUCAAUCUCUGGCCUCACUCAGUGGGUUGAGGAGCUGGCGUUGCUGUGGCUGUGGCCGGCGGCUACAGCUCUGAUUAGACCCUUCGCCUGGCAACCUCCAUAUGCCACCAGUGCAGCCCUAAAAGACAAAAG